GGAGGUAUAGCUUAUUAGUAGAGUGUGUGCCUAGAAGGCACAAGGUACUGGGUUCAAUUCCCGGUGCCUCCA
Molecule: transfer RNA, 72 nt
Organism: Camelus ferus (Wild Bactrian camel)
Lineage: Eukaryota; Metazoa; Chordata; Mammalia; Artiodactyla; Camelidae
Rfam family: tRNA
About the family: Transfer RNA (tRNA) molecules are approximately 80 nucleotides in length. Their secondary structure includes four short double-helical elements and three loops (D, anti-codon, and T loops).
Source: Rfam